UACGUAGGUGGCAAGCGUUGUCCGGAUUUACUGGGUGUAAGGGGAGCGUAGACGGCGAUGCAAGCCAGAUGUGAAAGCCCGGGGCUCAACCCCGGGACUGCAUUUGGAACUGUAUAGCUAGAGUGUCGGAGAGGCAGGCGGAAUUCCUAGUGUAGCGGUGAAAUGCGUAGAUAUUAGGAGGAACACCAGUGGCGAAGGCGGCCUGCUGGACGAUGACUGACGUUGAGGCUCGAAAGCGUGGGGAGCAAACAGG
RNAcentral lists this ribosomal RNA (253 nucleotides) under uncultured bacterium. RNAcentral's name for it is "partial 16S ribosomal RNA". It matches the Rfam family "Bacterial small subunit ribosomal RNA", at positions 524 to 776 of the family's 1533-position model. The record is from RNAcentral.